Molecule: transfer RNA, 72 nt
Filed under: Candidatus Roizmanbacteria bacterium
Lineage: Bacteria; Candidatus Roizmaniibacteriota
Description: tRNA-Met
Rfam family: tRNA
About the family: Transfer RNA (tRNA) molecules are approximately 80 nucleotides in length. Their secondary structure includes four short double-helical elements and three loops (D, anti-codon, and T loops).
Source: RNAcentral
GCUACCAUAGCUCAGCGGUAGAGCAUUCGUUUCAUAAGCGAGGGGUCCCAGGUUCGAAUCCUGGUGGUAGCA